GGCCUUGACAUACUAAGAACUUUCCAGAGAUGGAUUGGUGCCUUUCGGGAACUUAGAUACAGGUGCUGCAUGGCUGUCGCCAGCUCGUGUCGUGAGAUGUUGGGUUAAGUCCGCAACGAGCGCAACCCUUUUCCUUAUUUGCCAGCGGGUAAUGCCGGGAACUUUAAGGAUACUGCCAGUGACAAACUGGAGGAAGGCGGGGACGACGUCAAGUCAUCAUGGCCCUUACGGCCAGGGCUACACACGUGCUACAAUGGUCGGUACAAAGGGUUGCUACCUCGCGAGAGGAUGCUAAUCUCAAAAAGCCGAUCGUAGUCCGGAUCGCAGUCUGCAACUCGACUGCGUGAAGUCGGAAUCGCUAGUAAUCGCGGAUCAGAAUGCCGCGGUGAAUACGUUCCCGGGCCUUGUACACACCGCCCGUCACACCAUGGGAGUUUGUUGCACCAGAAGUAGGUAGUCUAACCGCAAGGAGGACGCUUACCACGGUGUGGCCGAUGACUGGGGUGAAGUCGUAACAAGGUAAGCGUAGAUGA
RNAcentral lists this ribosomal RNA (533 nucleotides) under uncultured bacterium. RNAcentral describes it as "bacterial SSU rRNA". It matches the Rfam family "Bacterial small subunit ribosomal RNA", at positions 977 to 1509 of the family's 1533-position model. The record is from RNAcentral.